UACGAAGGGUGCAAGCGUUACUCGGAAUUACUGGGCGUAAAGCGUGCGUAGGUGGUUUGUUAAGUCUGAUGUGAAAGCCCCGGGCUCAACCUGGGAAUUGCAUUGGAUACUGGCGGGCUAGAGUGCGGUAGAGGGUAGUGGAAUUCCCGGUGUAGCAGUGAAAUGCGUAGAGAUCGGGAGGAACAUCUGUGGCGAAGGCGACUGCCUGGACCAGCACUGACACUGAGGCACGAAAGCGUGGGGAGCAAACAGG
This 253-nucleotide ribosomal RNA is filed under the name uncultured bacterium. RNAcentral's name for it is "partial 16S ribosomal RNA". It matches the Rfam family "Bacterial small subunit ribosomal RNA", at positions 524 to 776 of the family's 1533-position model. The record is from RNAcentral.